This 258-nucleotide ribosomal RNA is filed under the name uncultured bacterium. RNAcentral describes it as "partial 16S ribosomal RNA". It matches the Rfam family "Bacterial small subunit ribosomal RNA", at positions 1234 to 1500 of the family's 1533-position model. The record is from RNAcentral.
CAGGUACANCGGGAAGCCACCUGGCGACAGGGCGCGGAACCCGAAAACCUGUCUCAGUUCGGAUUGGAGUCUGCAACCCGACUCCAUGAAGCUGGAUUCGCUAGUAAUCGCGCAUCAGCCACGGCGCGGUGAAUACGUUCCCGGGCCUUGUACACACCGCCCGUCAAGCCAUGGAAGCCCGGAGUGCCUGAAGUGCGUGACCGCAAGGAGCGUCCUAAGGCAAUACCGGUGACUGGGGCUAAGUCGUAACAAGGUACC